Molecule: ribosomal RNA, 406 nt
Filed under: uncultured bacterium
Lineage: Bacteria
Description: partial 16S ribosomal RNA
Rfam family: Bacterial small subunit ribosomal RNA
Source: RNAcentral
AUUGAACGCUGGCGGCAGGCCUAACACAUGCAAGUCGAACGAGUGGCGGACGGGUGAGUAAUGUCUGGGAAACUGCCCGAUGGAGGGGGAUAACUACUGGAAACGGUAGCUAAUACCGCAUACCAUCGGAUGUGCGCAGAUGGGAUUAGCUAGUAGGUGGGGUAACGGCACACCUAGGCGAAGAUCCCUAGCUGGUCUGAGAGGAUGACCAGCCACACUGGAACUUGUACACGGUCCAGGUUCCUACGGGAGGCAGCAGUGUGGAAUAUUGCACAAGAGGCGCAAGCCUGAUGCAGCCAUGCCGCGUGUAUUAAGACGGCCUUCGGUUUGUAAAGUACUUUCAGCGAGGAGGCGUUACUCGCAGAAGAAGCACCGGCUAACUCCGUGCCAGCAGCCGCGGUAAUAC